RNAcentral lists this ribosomal RNA (1756 nucleotides) under Acidovorax temperans. RNAcentral describes it as "partial 23S ribosomal RNA". It matches the Rfam family "Bacterial large subunit ribosomal RNA", at positions 1172 to 2925 of the family's 2925-position model. Lineage: Bacteria; Pseudomonadati; Pseudomonadota; Betaproteobacteria; Burkholderiales; Comamonadaceae. The record is from RNAcentral.
GUACCGGGGCUAAACAUAUUACCGAAGCUGUGGAUUGUCCUUUGGACAAUGGUAGGAGAGCGUUCUAAGGGCGUUGAAGCAUGAUCGUAAGGACAUGUGGAGCGCUUAGAAGUGAGAAUGCCGGUGUGAGUAGCGAAAGACGGGUGAGAAUCCCGUCCACCGAUUGACUAAGGUUUCCAGAGGAAGGCUCGUCCGCUCUGGGUUAGUCGGGUCCUAAGCUGAGGCCGACAGGCGUAGGCGAUGGAUAACAGGUUGAUAUUCCUGUACCACCUAUAAUCGUUUUAAUCGAUGGGGGGACGCAGUAGGAUAGGCGAAGCGUGCGAUUGGAUUGCACGUCUAAGCAGUAAGGCUGAGUAUUAGGCAAAUCCGGUACUCGUUAAGGCUGAGCUGUGAUGGGGAGAAGACAUUGUGUCUUCGAGUCGUUGAUUUCACACUGCCGAGAAAAGCCUCUAGAUAGAAAAUAGGUGCCCGUACCGCAAACCGACACAGGUAGUCAAGAUGAGAAUUCUAAGGUGAGCGAGCGAACUCUCGUUAAGGAACUCGGCAAAAUGACCCCGUAACUUCGGGAGAAGGGGUGCUCUUUAGGGUUAACGCCCAGAAGAGCCGCAGUGAAUAGGCCCAAGCGACUGUUUAUCAAAAACACAGGUCUCUGCUAAACCGUAAGGUGAUGUAUAGGGGCUGACGCCUGCCCGGUGCUGGAAGGUUAAGAGGAGUGGUUAGCUUCUGCGAAGCUACGAAUCGAAGCCCCAGUAAACGGCGGCCGUAACUAUAACGGUCCUAAGGUAGCGAAAUUCCUUGUCGGGUAAGUUCCGACCCGCACGAAAGGCGUAACGAUUUGGGCACUGUCUCAACGAGAGACUCGGUGAAAUCAUAGUACCUGUGAAGAUGCAGGUUACCCGCGACAGGACGGAAAGACCCCGUGGAGCUUUACUGUAGCCUGAUAUUGAAAUUCGGCACAGCUUGUACAGGAUAGGUAGGAGCCUUUGAAACGUGAGCGCUAGCUUACGUGGAGGCGCUGGUGGGAUACUACCCUAGCUGUGUUGGCUUUCUAACCCGCACCACUUAUCGUGGUGGGAGACAGUGUCAGGCGGGCAGUUUGACUGGGGCGGUCGCCUCCUAAAAGGUAACGGAGGAGUUCGAAGGUACGCUAGUUACGGUCGGACAUCGUGACGAUAGUGCAAUGGCAUAAGCGUGCUUAACUGCGAGACUGACAAGUCGAGCAGAUGCGAAAGCAGGACAUAGUGAUCCGGUGGUUCCGCAUGGAAGGGCCAUCGCUCAACGGAUAAAAGCUACCCCGGGGAUAACAGGCUUAUCUCCCCCAAGAGUUCACAUCGACGGGGAGGUUUGGCACCUCGAUGUCGGCUCAUCGCAUCCUGGGGCUGUAGUCGGUCCCAAGGGUUGGGCUGUUCGCCCAUUAAAGCGGUACGCGAGCUGGGUUUAAAACGUCGUGAGACAGUUUGGUCCCUAUCUUCCGUGGGCGCUGCAGAUUUGAGGAAGCCUGCUCCUAGUACGAGAGGACCGGAGUGGACACACCUCUGGUGUAUCGGUUGUCACGCCAGUGGCAUUGCCGAGUAGCUAAGUGUGGAAGAGAUAACCGCUGAAAGCAUCUAAGCGGGAAACUCGUUUCAAGAUGAGAUCUGCCGGGGCCUUGAGCCCCCUAAAGAGUCGUUCAAGACCAGGACGUUGAUAGGCUGGGUGUGGAAGCGCAGUAAUGCGUUAAGCUAACCAGUACUAAUUGCUCGUGCGGCUUGACCCU